UACGUAGGCAGCAAGCGUUGUUCGGAAUUACUGGGCGUAAAGAGUGUGUAGGCGGUGUUCUAAGUUUGUCGUGAAAUCUCCCGGCUUAACUGGGAGGGUGCGGCGAAAACUGGAAUGCUCGAGGAUGGGAGAGGUAAGCGGAAUUCCUGGUGUAGCGGUGAAAUGCGUAGAUAUCAGGAGGAACACCUGUGGUGUAGACAGCUUACUGGACCAUUUCUGACGCUGAGACACGAAAGCGUGGGUAGCAAACAGG
This 253-nucleotide ribosomal RNA is filed under the name uncultured bacterium. RNAcentral's name for it is "partial 16S ribosomal RNA". It matches the Rfam family "Bacterial small subunit ribosomal RNA", at positions 524 to 776 of the family's 1533-position model. The record is from RNAcentral.